RNAcentral lists this ribosomal RNA (253 nucleotides) under uncultured bacterium. RNAcentral describes it as "partial 16S ribosomal RNA". It matches the Rfam family "Bacterial small subunit ribosomal RNA", at positions 524 to 776 of the family's 1533-position model. The record is from RNAcentral.
UACGUAGGUGGCAAGCGUUGUCCGGAUUUAUUGGGCGUAAAGCGAGCGCAGGCGGUUUCUUAAGUCUGAUGCGAAAGCCCCCGGCUCAACCGGGGAGGGUCAUUGGAAACUGGGAGACUUGAGUGCAGAAGAGGAGAGUGGAAUUCCAUGUGUAGCGGUGAAAUGCGUAGAUAUAUGGAGGAACACCAGUGGCGAAGGCGGCUCUCUGGUCUGUAACUGACGCUGAGGCUCGAAAGCGUGGGGAGCGAACAGG